AGAGUUUGAUCAUGGCUCAGGAUGAACGCUGGCGGCGUGCUUAAUACAUGCAAGUCGAACGAAGCUCCUUAUCUUCGGACGAGGAGUCUUAGUGGCGAACGGGUGCGUAACGCGUUGGUAACCUGCCCCAAAGUGGGGGAUAACAGUUCGAAAGGACUGCUAAUACCUCAUGGGAUCAUCAGGAUUAGAUGCUUGAUGAUUAAAGGAGUAAUCCGCUUUGGGAGGGGCCUGCGUCCCAUCAGCUAGUUGGUAGGGUAAUGGCCUACCAAGGCUAUGACGGGUAGGGGACCUGAGAGGGUGGCCCCCCACACUGGCACUGAAAUACGGGCCAGACACCUACGGGUGGCAGCAGUAGGGAAUAUUGCGCAAUGGGCGAAAGCCUGACGCAGCAACGCCGUGUGAGGGAUGAAGGCUUUCGGGUCGUAAACCUCUGUCAGAAGGGAAGAACGGGCAGUGGUCUAAUAGGGCCAUUGUUUUGACGGUACCUUCAGAGGAAGCACCGGCUAACUCCGUGCCAGCCGCCGCGGUAAUA
This 532-nucleotide ribosomal RNA is filed under the name bacterium enrichment culture clone Cont220_3130. Its description in RNAcentral is "bacterial SSU rRNA". It matches the Rfam family "Bacterial small subunit ribosomal RNA", at positions 8 to 525 of the family's 1533-position model. The record is from RNAcentral.